Molecule: ribosomal RNA, 254 nt
Filed under: uncultured bacterium
Lineage: Bacteria
Description: partial small subunit ribosomal RNA
Rfam family: Bacterial small subunit ribosomal RNA
Source: RNAcentral
AGGACGAACGCUGGCGGCGUGCUUAACACAUGCAAGUCGAGCGGAAAGGCCCUUCGGGGUACUCGAGCGGCGAACGGGUGAGUAACACGUGAGCAACCUGCCCUUAGCUUCGGGAUAGCUCCGGGAAACCGGAAUUAAUACCGAAUAUGACCAAGGCCGACAUCAGCCUUGGUGGAAAGUUUUUCGGCUAGGGAUGGACUCGCGGCCUAUCAGCUAGUUGGUGAGGUAACGGCUCACCAAGGCGACGACGGGUA